UUAGCCGGGCAGCCGCGCAUGGUGUGCCGAAAGGCCCCCUGUGAGGAAAGUCCGGGCUCCAUAGGGCAAGGAUAACGGGUAACGCCCGCCGUAGGCGACUACAGGAAAAGUGCAACAGAGAUAUACCGCCGUCGGUUCGUGCCAUCACUAUGUCAACCAUCAGAGCCUGUCAGCUCACCCGAUAGUGCAUUGGCAGUUCCUGCGGUAAGGGUGGAAAGGCGAGGUAAGAGCUCACCGGCUGCCGUGUGAAAGCGUGCAGUCCUGUAAACUCUAUCCGGAGCAACACCGCAAUAGGGACUUAAGCUGGCCCGGCUGUCCCUGAAUAGGUGGCUUGAGCCCUGCGGUAACGUAGGGCCUAGAUAGAUGGCUGUCGAUUACAGAACCCGGCUUAUAGGCUAAAUC
Molecule: RNase P RNA, 402 nt
Filed under: human gut metagenome
Description: Bacterial RNase P class A
Rfam family: Bacterial RNase P class A
About the family: Ribonuclease P (RNase P) is a ubiquitous endoribonuclease, found in archaea, bacteria and eukarya as well as chloroplasts and mitochondria. Its best characterised activity is the generation of mature 5'-ends of tRNAs by cleaving the 5'-leader elements of precursor-tRNAs.
Source: RNAcentral